RNAcentral lists this ribosomal RNA (1452 nucleotides) under uncultured bacterium. RNAcentral's name for it is "bacterial SSU rRNA". It matches the Rfam family "Bacterial small subunit ribosomal RNA". The record is from RNAcentral.
GACGAACGCUGGCGGCGUGCCUAACACAUGCAAGUCGAGCGGAGAUAAUCCUUCGGGAGUAUCUAAGCGGCGGACGGGUGAGUAACACGUGGGCAACCUGCCUCACAGAGGGGGAUAGGCUCCCGAAAGGGAGAUUAAUACCGCAUAAGAAGUAAGAGUCGCAUGAUUCAAGCUUUAAAGGCUGUAUACCUAAAAGGGUGUAUAGUCACUGUGAGAUGGGCCCGCGGCGCAUUAGUUAGUUGGUGAGGUAACGGCUCACCAAGGCGACGAUGCGUAGCCGACCUGAGAGGGUGAACGGCCACAUUGGAACUGAGAGACGGUCCAGACUCCUACGGGAGGCAGCAGUGGGGAAUAUUGCACAAUGGGCGGAAGCCUGAUGCAGCAACGCCGCGUGAGUGAAGAAGGUUUUCGGAUUGUAAAGCUCUGUCUUCGGGGACGAUAAUGACGGUACCCGAGGAGGAAGCCACGGCUAACUACGUGCCAGCAGCCGCGGUAAUACGUAGGUGGCGAGCGUUGUCCGGAUUUACUGGGUGUAAAGGAUGCGUAGGCGGAUAUUCAAGUCAGAUGUGAAAAUCCCGGGCUUAACUUGGGAACUGCAUUUGAAACUGGGUAUCUGGAGUGCAGGAGAGGUGAGCGGAAUUCCUAGUGUAGCGGUGAAAUGCGUAGAGAUUAGGAAGAACACCGGUGGCGAAGGCGGCUCACUGGACUGUAACUGACGCUGAGGCAUGAAAGCGUGGGUAGCAAACAGGAUUAGAUACCCUGGUAGUCCACGCCGUAAACGAUGAAUAUUAGGUGUGGGAGGUAUCGACUCCUUCCGUGCCGUCGUAAACACAUUAAGUAUUCCACCUGGGGAGUACGGUCGCAAGAUUAAAACUCAAAGGAAUUGACGGGGGCCCGCACAAGCAGCGGAGCAUGUGGUUUAAUUCGAAGCAACGCGAAGAACCUUACCUGGACUUGACAUCCCCUGAAUAGAUUAGAGAUAAUUGAAGCCCUUCGGGGCAGGGAGACAGGUGGUGCAUGGUUGUCGUCAGCUCGUGUCGUGAGAUGUUAGGUUAAGUCCUGCAACGAGCGCAACCCUUGUCAUUAGUUGCUACCAGUAAGAUGAGCACUCUAGUGAGACUGCCGCGGUUAACGCGGAGGAAGGUGGGGAUGACGUCAAAUCAUCAUGCCCCUUAUGUCCAGGGCUACACACGUGCUACAAUGGGCAGUACAAUGAGACGCAAGCCCGCGAGGGGGAGCCAAACCAUAAAACUGUUCCCAGUUCGGAUUGCAGGCUGAAACCCGCCUGCAUGAAGCUGGAGUUGCUAGUAAUCGCAAAUCAGCAUGUUGCGGUGAAUACGUUCCCGGGCCUUGUACACACCGCCCGUCACACCAUGAGAGUUAACAACACCCGAAGUCCGUGAGAUAACCGAAAGGGGUCAGCGGCCGAAGGUGGGGUCAAUAAUUGGGGUG